AUGACCUUAAGAUGGCCCCUGGACAGUGGAACUCUCUGGUCCCUGUCCUGCUGUCUGUCGCGGUACCUGCCUUUCCUCUUGACACAGGACAAAGACCAUCUCAGGCCCCUGAUGGGUGAGUGGCCUUCCUCAGAGGCCUCCUGCGAAGCUGGGAGGUGCCACAAGAUGCUUUCUGCAUGGUCACCUCUAGGGUUUGCUCUGAACAGGUGAGAGCAGCAUGAACUCGAGGGUCCCAUCUGUCUCUCUCUCUCCUGAGCCAGGUCUUUGACCCAAGUCCCAACCAGCCUGGAGUAUAUGGGUGACUACUAACACAGCUUCUGGGGCCACCUCACCAUUCAGGCCCCCACCACCCCCAAGGACACAGCACAUAUGCACCAUGUGAGCACCAUACACACAGUGCCCAUCAGACACACCUUGUCUGCUGUGGCCUGGACAAGUGUCCCCAAGCCUGUGUGUGACAGGUAUGGUCCUUAGCAUGGCACCACAGGCAGGUGGUAGAGCCCUCAAGUAGUUCCUAGGGGUCCUAGGGUCACUGGAAGGACCCUAAAGGAGACUGUGAGGUCCCGGUCUCUACCUCUUCCUCUCUGGAUUUUCAGUUUCUGGCUCAUGAGGUAAGUGGUUUUCUUUGCCACUUGCUCCUGCCAUGAUGUACAGCUAUUGCCAGAGACCCAGAGCCAUGGAGACACCUGACCAUGGGCUGGAACCUCCAAAACUGUGAGCCAGAAUAAACCUUUUCUCUUUAUAAGUUGAUGGUCUCAGGUAUUUUAUCAUAGUGACAGGAAGCUGACAGAACACCCAUGCACAUAGCAAAUACACAGACAGAGAGGUAUCAUGCAUGUAUGAACACAUACAUAUAUACCACACACACACACACCAUACACCAAACAUAGACACGACACACACAUACUAUCAUAUCACACACACCACACACAGGUCGACACCGCAUAGCACAUACAGGCACAGGAACACCACAUACACACAUACCACAUACAUCACACAUUUACACGUACACAACACACACACUUAACACACACACA
Molecule: long non-coding RNA, 1037 nt
Filed under: Fukomys damarensis (Damara mole-rat)
Lineage: Eukaryota; Metazoa; Chordata; Mammalia; Rodentia; Bathyergidae
Description: lncRNA (ENSFDAG00000023095.1)
Source: RNAcentral